Molecule: non-coding RNA, 29 nt
Filed under: Rattus norvegicus (Norway rat)
Lineage: Eukaryota; Metazoa; Chordata; Mammalia; Rodentia; Muridae
Source: RNAcentral
UACAACAAGAAUUGAAAUGACAGUGGAUC